Molecule: long non-coding RNA, 199 nt
Organism: Rhincodon typus (whale shark)
Lineage: Eukaryota; Metazoa; Chordata; Chondrichthyes; Orectolobiformes; Rhincodontidae
Exons: 3
Source: RefSeq, a predicted model, not a curated record
GACUUUUGUAACUAUCUGAAAAUUUACGAGUGGGAAGCGACUUAUUACAGUCUUCCUCAACUGCACUUGUCUCUUUCAGCAGGAAAUUGGAGCGGGCAACCUUACAGAGAAAGAAGAGAGAGAGAAAAGAUUCCUGCAGCUAACUUCUGCUCCAUCUUACCAUGCAACAUUCCUGGAACUACUCACCAGACAUCGGAUA